This 378-nucleotide ribosomal RNA is filed under the name uncultured eukaryote. Its description in RNAcentral is "SSU rRNA". It matches the Rfam family "Eukaryotic small subunit ribosomal RNA", at positions 587 to 972 of the family's 1831-position model. The record is from RNAcentral.
AGCUCCAAAAGCGUAUAUUAAAGUUGUUGCGGUUAAAACGCUCGUAGUUGGGUCUUUGCUGGGCAUGCCUCGUCCAUCCAAGUGAUGUCUGCACGUGGCCUCCUGGCAUUUGUCUGGGGAAGGUUCUUGUGCUUAACUGUACAGCGCCUGAUCCAGAGUGAUUACUUUGAGAAAACGAGAGUGUUCCAAGCGGGCGUCAGCCAGAAUACAUUAGCAUGGAAUAAUAGCAUAGGACUUCAUUCUGAAGCUGUUGGUUUAAUAGAAUGGAGGAACGCAAAUAGGGAUAGUUGGGGGCAUUCGUAUUUAACUGUCAGAGGUGAAAUUCUUGGAUUUUUUAAAGACGAACUAGUGCGAAAGCAUCUGCCCAGGAUGUUUUUA